RNAcentral lists this ribosomal RNA (305 nucleotides) under uncultured bacterium. RNAcentral's name for it is "partial 16S ribosomal RNA". It matches the Rfam family "Bacterial small subunit ribosomal RNA", at positions 508 to 807 of the family's 1533-position model. The record is from RNAcentral.
ACAGCAGUAGCCGCGGUAAUACGAAGGGGGCUAGCGUUGUUCGGAAUUACUGGGCGUAAAGCGCACGUAGGCGGAUAUUUAAGUCAGGGGUGAAAUCCCAGAGCUCAACUCUGGAACUGCCUUUGAUACUGGGUAUCUUGAGUAUGGAAGAGGUGAGUGGAAUUCCGAGUGUAGAGGUGAAAUUCGUAGAUAUUCGGAGGAACACCAGUGGCGAAGGCGGCUCACUGGUCCAUUACUGACGCUGAGGUGCGAAAGCGUGGGGAGCAAACAGGAUUAGAUACCCGCGUAGUCCCUGUCUCUUAUAC